RNAcentral lists this transfer-messenger RNA (354 nucleotides) under Actinomycetota bacterium. It matches the Rfam family "transfer-messenger RNA". From Rfam's summary of the family: Bacterial tmRNA, also known as 10Sa RNA or SsrA, is named for its dual tRNA and mRNA-like properties. Its role is to liberate the mRNA from a stalled ribosome. The record is from RNAcentral. Lineage: Bacteria; Bacillati; Actinomycetota.
GGGGGCGUUCCGGCUUCGACGUGAGCGGACAGCGUCCAGUGAGACGAGUCGAGUUUGCUGGAGACUCGUAAAACGCCGGCAACUAAACAUACUCGGCAACGAUAUGGAACUUCAGGCCGCUUAACCAUAAGCGCCUCAUCGGCCCGGGCAGCCUACGGCUCGGUAACCGGUGUCAUUUUAGUAGGAUCACCUUAAGAUCCCUGGCCCGGGGUUCGUAAGGGACAUUUAAUGGGCUAGCCCUCCCGCGGCGCCCCGGUUCGUGGGGUAGGGUGAAGCUAAACUGGGAGCAACGCUCGUACAAUCUCACGGACGGCGCGUUCGCGGACGCGGGUUCAAUUCCCGCCGCCUCCACUG